Molecule: ribosomal RNA, 500 nt
Filed under: uncultured bacterium
Lineage: Bacteria
Description: partial 16S ribosomal RNA
Rfam family: Bacterial small subunit ribosomal RNA
Source: RNAcentral
AUUGAACGCUGGCGGAAUGCUUUACACAUGCAAGUCGAACGGCAGCACGGACUUCGGUCUGGUGGCGAGUGGCGAACGGGUGAGUAAUGUAUCGGAACGUGCCCAGUCGUGGGGGAUAACGUAGUGAAAAUUACGCUAAUACCGCAUACGAUCUAUGGAUGAAAGCGGGGGGUCGCAAGACCUAGCGCGAUUGGAGCGGCCGAUAGCAGAUUAGGUAGUUGGUGGGGUAAAGGCCCACCAAGCCAACGAUCUGUAGCUGGUCUGAGAGGACGACCAGCCACGCUGGGACUGAGACACGGUCCAGACUCCUACGGGAGGCAGCAGUGGGGAAUUUUGGACAAUGGGCGAAAGCCUGAUCCAGCCAUUCCGCGUGCAGGAUGAAGGCCCUCGGGUUGUAAACUGCUUUUGUACAGAACGAAAAGGUUUCUCCUAAUAUGAGGAGCUCAUGACGGUACUGUAAGAGUAAGCACCGGCUAACUACGUGCCAGCCGCCGCGGUAA